GGUCGCUUAGCUCAGUUGGUUAGAGCGUGGUGCUAAUAUCUUCUCUGAUAAAUUUGGAAAGAUUGUAACGCCAAGGUCGCGAGUUCGACCCUCGUAGUGAUCA
Molecule: transfer RNA, 103 nt
Organism: Sclerotinia sclerotiorum
Lineage: Eukaryota; Fungi; Ascomycota; Leotiomycetes; Helotiales; Sclerotiniaceae
Rfam family: tRNA
About the family: Transfer RNA (tRNA) molecules are approximately 80 nucleotides in length.
Source: Rfam